RNAcentral lists this ribosomal RNA (670 nucleotides) under uncultured Bacteroidota bacterium. Its description in RNAcentral is "SSU rRNA". It matches the Rfam family "Bacterial small subunit ribosomal RNA", at positions 245 to 915 of the family's 1533-position model. The record is from RNAcentral. Lineage: Bacteria; Pseudomonadati; Bacteroidota.
GUAGUUGGCGGGGUAACGGCCCACCAAGCCUACGAUCAGUAACUGGUGUGAGAGCACGACCAGUCACACGGGCACUGAGACACGGGCCCGACUCCUACGGGAGGCAGCAGUAAGGAAUAUUGGUCAAUGGACGCAAGUCUGAACCAGCCAUGCCGCGUGGAGGAUGAAGGUCCUCUGGAUUGUAAACUUCUUUUAUCUGGGAAGAAACCCAUGAAUUCUUUUGUGGUUGACGGUACCAGAUGAAUAAGCACCGGCUAACUCCGUGCCAGCAGCCGCGGUAAUACGGAGGGUGCAAGCGUUAUCCGGAUUUACUGGGUUUAAAGGGUGCGUAGGCGGAAUGGUAAGUCCGUGGUGAAAUCCCCGAGCUUAACUUGGGAACUGCCAUGGAUACUAUCAAUCUUGAAUAUCAUGGAGGUAAGCGGAAUAUGUCAUGUAGCGGUGAAAUGCUUAGAUAUGACAUAGAACACCAAUUGCGAAGGCAGCUUACUACGCGAUAAUUGACGCUGAGGCACGAAAGCGUGGGGAUCAAACAGGAUUAGAUACCCUGGUAGUCCACGCCCUAAACGAUGAUCACUCGACAUCAGCGAUACACUGUUGGUGUCUGAGCAAAAGCAUUAAGUGAUCCACCUGGGAAGUACGAUCGCAAGGUUGAAACUCAAAGGAAUUGACG